This 2979-nucleotide long non-coding RNA is filed under the name Equus caballus (horse). Its description in RNAcentral is "lncRNA (ENSECAG00000056301.1)". Lineage: Eukaryota; Metazoa; Chordata; Mammalia; Perissodactyla; Equidae. The record is from RNAcentral.
GCAGCCACCUGUGAGGGACGAAGCUGAGGCUUGGCUGUCUGGGAUCUAAACUGUGACCUGAUCAAGUACAGACAUUCUGAUUUUAUCUAUUUAUACUUUGGGACUUUGAGAUUAAGCAUCUUUCCUUAGGCUAGGAACUGACUGCUGCACUCACCUGUGACCACCCAGCUCAAGACAAUAGACUUGCCUCCAGCUACGCCCUCUGAGAUAGCCCUCUGAGAUAGCCGACCACUACCUGCUGUGUCCAUCAAGCACUGUGCCGACAGGGCAAUCUUGUGACUAUUGUGGGAGGGACAUUUCAAUCACAUGUGAAACACCCUGUUUGGGGGUAUAUAACCACUAUGUGCACCCCACUUCUUCGGUGCCCUUUCUUCCUUCGGGAAGAAAGGCCCCGGGCCAUGGUUCUCAUAAAGCUUUGUUUAAUUUUCUCUUGCUAUUCUGUCUCAUGUGAAUUUAAUUCAUUCUCCAGCUAGACGAACCCCCAUUUGGGAAGAGGAAAUGUCUUCCUCUCCUACACCUUCAUGAAAUUCUUAAUAAUUUUUGCACAAAGGCUUUGCAUUUUCAUUUUGCACUGGGCCUUGAAGGGUUUCUGGUAGAAACUCUUUUGAUUAAGCUAGUUCCAUUCUGUUCCUAGUUUGCUGUGAUUUUUUUUCUUACAGGAUGGGUGGGUAUUGAGAAGAUAAUAAAUAUUCUGUUUUAAUCUAUUAAUGUGGAAAGUUACAUUCAUUGAUUUUCUAUGAUAAAUCAUCCCUGCAUUCAUAGCCUAAACUCAAUUGGGCAAUGAUGUAUUUUUGAAUAUACUUUAUUUUUUAGAAAAGUUGUAAAUUUACAGAAAAAUUGUAAAGAUAGUGCAGAGUUCCCAUAUACCCCACAUCCAGUUGCCCUUAUCAUUAACAUGUUAUUGUUAGUAUGGUACAUGUGCUGUAAUUAAGGAAUCAAUAGCCCAUAGUUUAUUCAGAUAUCCUUAGUUUUUAUCUAAUAUCUUUUUUCUGUUCAAGGAGCCUAUCCAGGAUACUACAUUAUCUUUAGUUGUCAUGUCUCCUUGGGUUCCUCUAAGUAGGUUGUGAGUUUCUUAGAUUUUCCUUGUUUUGAUGACCUUGACAGUUUGGAGGCAUAGUGAUCAGAUUGGUUUGUAGAAUGACCCUCUAUUGGGAUUUGUCUGAUGUUUCUCUCAUGAUUAGACAGGGGUAAUGUGUUUUUGAGAGGAAGAUCACAUAGGUAUACUGCCGUUGUCAUCACCUCACUUCAAGGGUACGUACCAUCAACAUGAUUUAUCACUACUGAUAUGAUGGUCGUGAUCACCUCCAGAGAGGGGAGACAGGUUGGAAGUUGAGUCAAUCACCAAUGACCAAUGACUCAAUCAAUGAUACCUAACUAAUGAAGCCUCCAUAAAAACUCAAAAAGCAUUGGGUUCAGAGAGCUGAAGGGUUGGUAAACAUGUGGAGAUGUGGGGAGUGUGCUGCACCAGAGAGAGCAUGGAAGCUCUGCACCGCUUUCUGCAUAUCUUGCCCUGUGCAUCUCUUCCAUCUGGCUGUUCCUGAGUUAUAUCCUUUUAUAAUAAACUCGUAAUCUAGUAAGUAAACUGCUUUCCUGAGUUCUGUGAGCUGUUCUGGCAAAUUAAUCAAAUCUGAGGAGGGGGUUGUGGGAAGCUCUGAUUUAUAGUCAGUUGGUCAGAAGCACAGGUGACAACCUGGACUUGCAAUUGCAACAAAAAAAUUAUGAGACAUACAAAUAAACAGGAAAGUAUGACCCAUACACUGGGAAAAAAGCAGACAACAGAAACUACCUGUGAAAGUAACCAGAUGUUGAAUUUGACAAAGCUUAAAAAGUAGACAUUAUAAGUAUGUUCAAGAAACUAAAGUAACAAUGAUUAAAGAAGUAAAGGAAGGGGGCCGGCCUGGUGGUGCAGUGGUAAGUUUGCAUGUUCCACUUUUUGGUGGCCCGGGGUUUGCUGGUUCAGAUCCUGGGUGUGGACAUGGCACCACUUGGCAAAAGCCAUGCUGUGGUAGGUGUCUCACGUAUAAAGUGGAGGAAGAUGGGCAUGGAUGUUAGCUCAGGGCCAGUCUUCCUCAGGAAAAAGAGGAGGAUUGGCAGUAGUUAGCUCAAGGCUAAUCUUCCUAAAAAAAAAAAAAAACCAGAAGUAAAGGAAGAUAUGAGGACAAUGGUACCUCAAAUGGAGAAUAUCAAUAAAGACAUAGAAAUUAUUUAAAAAGAAACUUGGAAAUGCUGGAGUUGGAAAGUACAAUAACUGAAAUGAAAAAUUCACUGGAGAGGCUCAACAGUAGAUAUAAACUAGCAGAAGAAAGAACUAGCAAACUUGAAGCUUGAUUGAUAGAGAUUAUGUAAUCCAAAGAACAGAGAGGAAAACAGUGAAGAAAAAUUAACAGAGCCUUAGAGUAAUAUGGGACAACGCUAAACACAUCAACAUACGUGUAAUGGGAGUACCAGAAGGAGGGAAGAGAGAAAGGAGCAGGAAAAAUAUUUGGAGAAAUAAUAGCUGAAAACUUCCUAAAUUAUAGAAAAACGAUCAUCAACACAUCCAGGAAGCCCAUUGGACUCCAAGUGGAAUACAUUCAAAGAGAUCCACAAAUAGACACAUCACAGUAAAACUGCUGAACGCCAAAGACAAGCAGGGAAUCUUGAAAGCAGUAAGAGAAAAACAAUUUGUCACUUACAAGGGAAUGCAAAUAAAAUUAAUAGCUGACUUUGCAGCAGAAAUGAUGGAGGCCAGAAGGCAGUGGGAUGACAUAUUCAAAAUGCUCAAAGAAAAAAACUGCCAACCAGAAUCCUAUAUCCAGCUAAGCCAUCUUUCAAAAAUGAUAACAAAUUCCCAGAUAAACAAAAACAGAGAAUUUGUUGCUAGCAAACCUGCCUUAUGAGAAAUACUAAAGGAAGUUUAUCAGGCUGAAAGUAAGUAACCUUAGAUGGUAAUUUGAGUCCACACAAAAAAACAAAGAGAACCAGUGAAUAUGUAAUUAC